CGGGGUAUAGCGUAGCCCGGUAUCGCGCCUGCUUUGGGAGCAGGAGGUCGCAAGUUCGAAUCUUGCUACCCCGA
Molecule: transfer RNA, 74 nt
Filed under: Cryomorphaceae bacterium BACL11 MAG-121001-bin54
Lineage: Bacteria; Pseudomonadati; Bacteroidota; Flavobacteriia; Flavobacteriales; Cryomorphaceae
Also listed under: 1 other name
Description: tRNA-Pro
Rfam family: tRNA
About the family: Transfer RNA (tRNA) molecules are approximately 80 nucleotides in length. Their secondary structure includes four short double-helical elements and three loops (D, anti-codon, and T loops).
Source: RNAcentral